GGAGGAAAGCAGGGGAUCGAAAGACCUUGUGCUUUUGGAGCGGCCGAUGUCUGAUUAGCUAGUUGGUGGGGUAAAGGCCUACCAAGGCGACGAUCAGUAGUUGGUCUGAGAGGACGACCAGCCACACUGGGACUGAGACACGGCCCAGACUCCUACGGGAGGCAGCAGUGGGGAAUUUUGGACAAUGGGCGCAAGCCUGAUCCAGCAAUGCCGCGUGAGUGAAGAAGGCCUUCGGGUUGUAAAGCUCUUUCAGUCGAGAAGAAAAAGCUGUGGUGAAUAACUGCGGUUUAUGACGGUAUCGACAGAAGAAGCACCGGCUAACUACGUGCCAGCAGCCGCGGUAAUACGUAGGGUGCGAGCGUUAAUCGGAAUUACUGGGCGUAAAGGGUGCGCAGGCGGUUUUGUAAGUCAGAUGUGAAAUCCCCGGGCUUAACCUGGGAAUUGCGUUUGAAACUACAAAGCUAG
Molecule: ribosomal RNA, 465 nt
Filed under: uncultured ammonia-oxidizing beta proteobacterium
Lineage: Bacteria; Pseudomonadati; Pseudomonadota; Betaproteobacteria
Description: bacterial SSU rRNA
Rfam family: Bacterial small subunit ribosomal RNA
Source: RNAcentral